AGACAACCGCUGAGCCAUCCAUGUGCACCCCUCCAGAGCUGGGCAGUAGAUCAAAGAGAAGGACCUUCCCCUAAUAGAGGAGAACCAGUCUUCAGUCAAGGUUAGACAAGGAGCUGUGCUCCCCUGCUAGAACCUCUAUGAGAAACACGUUGUUCAGGUAGGAAACUGAGGUUGAGAGAAAUAGCGGGGAGCAGGAAUCCAAAGCAGUCUGCUGUCGGUGGCACCUGAC
This 229-nucleotide small nuclear RNA is filed under the name Rattus norvegicus (Norway rat). RNAcentral's name for it is "7SK RNA". It matches the Rfam family "7SK RNA". From Rfam's summary of the family: 7SK was discovered as an abundant small nuclear RNA in the mid-70s but a possible function has only recently been suggested. Lineage: Eukaryota; Metazoa; Chordata; Mammalia; Rodentia; Muridae. The record is from Rfam by way of RNAcentral.